GAACAUUUACUGUCCAUUUAGAUAUUGGAGUUUCCAACUUUGUCUUGCACUGACAAGGUAAUACAAAUACUAAAGAUUAAUCAAGCCCAACCAGAUAGGUCAGUUAACAAAGAUAGAGAGAAAAACUAAAACAACUUCUGGGGUUGCUCAGAACAAGAAAGAAUCCUGCCAAAUGCAGUGCACUCUGUACAUAUGUUAAAAUGGAAAUUGUAUAGUUAUUUUAGUAACUAUCUGAAGUUCCUGAUUUUGAUGGUAUUUACCAAAAUACAUAAUGUUUGAUGCAAAACCAUUUUCUGUGAUGGAAGUUGAAUACAGAGAUGGAAAUUUUCCAGCGUGUUUUUGUAACUUCCUCAAGAUUUAUAGUUUGUACUCCUCGUGGUAUUUACCAAAUACAUUUGAUGCAAAAUGUUUUGUUUGUGAUGGAACUUGAACACAAAGAUGGAAAUUGCACAUCUUCUUGUAACUUUCCCAAGAUUUAGGUUUUUUUUUACUUUUCAUGAUAUCUACCAAAAUACAUGGAAAAGAAUAAAAAUCCUAUAACCCAAGUGCUUUCGAAAGGUGGACCUUUCUUCUUCAGGGGCAAACUGGCAAUGCAUUAUAGUGCAAAACCAUUUAUUUUUGCUGGAAGUUGAAUGCAGUGAUCUGUUUCGUAUUAUCAGAUUUGUGACUUUUCAAAUUAUUUUGUUAUACUACAUACACAACUUCAGACUGUGAUAUCAUUAGAAUAAUUUGUAAAAGAUGUACGUUACUAUAACCAUCACUAGUUAUGAAACAAUGUUUGUUCUUUUUAAUUUUUUGAAACUCUUUUAAUCUUGUUUUCUGCUUUAACUCCAUGACAAAUUCAAGGGCAAUGAUUUCUCUUUUUUGUGGCCCAGUAUGGCCAGGUGGUUAGGGAGCUUGACUUGCAAUCAGAGGGUUGCAGAUUCGAAUCCCUGUUCUACCAAACAUGCUUGCCCUUUCAGCUGUGGGGGUGGUAUUAUGUGACAGUCAAUCCCACUAUUCAUUGGUAAAAGAGUAGCCCAAGAGUUGG
Molecule: long non-coding RNA, 1030 nt
Filed under: Limulus polyphemus (Atlantic horseshoe crab)
Lineage: Eukaryota; Metazoa; Arthropoda; Merostomata; Xiphosura; Limulidae
Description: uncharacterized LOC111087526, transcript variant X3
Source: RNAcentral